Molecule: ribosomal RNA, 772 nt
Filed under: Tropidophorus latiscutatus
Lineage: Eukaryota; Metazoa; Chordata; Lepidosauria; Squamata; Scincidae
Description: partial 16S rRNA
Rfam family: Bacterial large subunit ribosomal RNA
Source: RNAcentral
ACUCCUAAUUUUACACUGAGCCACACUAUAAUAAUAGACGUACUUAUGUUAAAACUAGUAACAAGAAAAAUUCUCUACAGCAUACCCGUGCAUCAGCAAUAGAAAGCCUACUGACAAUUAACAGACCAAAACAAGUCCAUACCCCCCCCCGGUAUUAAAAAACUGUCACACCAACACCGGAGCGCUACAAAGAAAGAUUAAAAGCUGUAGAAGGAACUCAGCAAACCUUGUCCCAACUGUUUACCAAAAACAUAGCCUUUAGCAAUAAAAGUAUUAAAGGUCCCGCCUGCCCAGUGAAAUUAUUUCAACGGCCGCGGUAUUCUAACCGUGCAAAGGUAGCGUAAUCACUUGUCUCCUAAAUAGGGACCAGUAUGAAUGGCUAAAUGAGGACAAACCUGUCUCCUACAACUAAUCAGUGAAACUGAUCUACCAGUACAAAAGCUGGUAUAUACCCAUAAGACGAGAAGACCCUGUGGAGCUUUAAACCACUCACUAAUAAUAAACAUUAUAUAGUAGCAGGUUUUGAGUUGGGGCGACUUCGGAACAAAACAAAACUUCCGAGCAAAGAACUACCAAUUCUAACCAAGGCCAACAAGCCAAGGCACAAAUCGACCCAGUCAUACUGAUCAACGAACCAAGUUACCCCAGGGAUAACAGCGCCAUCUUCUUCAAGAGUCCCUAUCGACAAGAAGGUUUACGACCUCGAUGUUGGAUCAGGACACCCAAAUGGUGAAGCCGCUAUUAAAGGUUCGUUUGUUCAACGAUUAACAGU